GAUGAACGCUGGCGGCGUGCCUAAUACAUGCAAGUCGAGCGAAUGGAUUAAGAGCUUGCUCUUAUGAAGUUAGCGGCGGACGGGUGAGUAACACGUGGGUAACCUGCCCAUAAGACUAGGAUACCUCCGGGAAACCGGGGCUAAUACCGGAUAACAUUUUGAACCGCAUGGUUCGAAAUUGAAAGGCGGCUUCGGCUGUCACUUAUGGAUGGACCCGCGUCGCAUCAGCUAGUUGGUGAGGUAACGGCUCACCAAGGCAACGAUGCGUAGCCGACCUGAGAGGGUGAUCGGCCACACUGGGACUGAGACACGGCCCAGACUCCUACGGGAGGCAGCAGUAGGGAAUCUCCCGCAAUGGACGAAAGUCUGACGGAGCAACGCCGCGUGAGUGAUGAAGGCUUUCGGGUCGUAAAACUCUGUUGUUAGGGAAGAACAAGUGCUAGUUGAAUAAGCUGGCACCUUGACGGUACCUAACCAGAAAGCCACGGCUAACUACGUGCCAGCAGCCGCCGUAA
This 515-nucleotide ribosomal RNA is filed under the name uncultured bacterium. RNAcentral describes it as "partial 16S ribosomal RNA". It matches the Rfam family "Bacterial small subunit ribosomal RNA", at positions 28 to 523 of the family's 1533-position model. The record is from RNAcentral.